This is a long non-coding RNA of Bufo gargarizans (Asiatic toad), 391 nucleotides long. RefSeq lists it as uncharacterized. The transcript is spliced from 3 exons. NCBI's taxonomy places the organism in Eukaryota, Metazoa, Chordata, Amphibia, Anura, Bufonidae. The record is from RefSeq and is a predicted model, not a curated record.
UUGUCCAGACCGAGAAGAUGAUGACAGAGAGGAGACGUCACCUGGAGGCCCUGGAUGUGACAGCACAUCAAUUACGUUUGCGGUUACAGCUGAGGAUUUCAUCAAUUUCAAUGGAUGGGUGAGAUCUGUGUCAAAGACGCACCAAUUCUGCACUUAGACAUCGAGAAGUUUGAUGCACACACAAUUUUUUUUUCCACUAUGCAAUGCCCUUCUUCCUCCUCUACUCCUCUGCUACAGGAAGAAACCUACAGAGUAGAGGACUCGAGCAGCGUGGGUGCAGCUUAACAUGUACAGCAGCAGUUAGGUCUUUAAAGAUUGCACCCACUCCGCAGCAAGCACCAUGCCCGAACGGUGCCUGCUGUUUCACAAAGCAGAUACCCAGAGCCAAUGU